GCUCGCCCUCUUCUUCUGUGAUCCUCAUGGCGGAACCGUGAUCGCAGUUUUAUGGAAGCCAAAGGCCUUCCUCCCAGUGCCCUUCAAGACAUCGUAUAUGUCUGCUCGGAGAGUGGAGGUGACUGGGGAGGAAGCGAAUACCAUUCCCAACGUCGAAGCAAUCCUGGAGGACUUCCGGGUCUUGGGAAAGGGCUUGAUCAAGUCAGUGGAAGCCAGGACUGAGAAGUGGUCAGUUUAGACGUGUCGUUUUCACCGUGUACAUUUCAUUGUGAAACGGAACAACGGGGAAAUUAAUGGAUUUUCAGAGACAUUUGUGUUAACAAUAUUAUCAGUUAAUAAUGUGUUUUAAAGAUAAGCCACAUGUUUGUCUUGGCGAAGCUGCAUCUUGUUUAAUAAAUGCAUAUGUACUUUU
Molecule: long non-coding RNA, 412 nt
Organism: Pseudoliparis swirei
Lineage: Eukaryota; Metazoa; Chordata; Actinopteri; Perciformes; Liparidae
Exons: 2
Source: RefSeq, a predicted model, not a curated record